Molecule: long non-coding RNA, 362 nt
Organism: Hibiscus syriacus
Lineage: Eukaryota; Viridiplantae; Streptophyta; Magnoliopsida; Malvales; Malvaceae
Exons: 2
Source: RefSeq, a predicted model, not a curated record
GUGUCACAUCCUCUUUCUCCGUCGUCACCCCUAGUUCUGCUGUUUACCAGGUUGUUAUUGGCGGCGGUGGAGGAGGAGGCUUCAUUGGAGAUGGAGGUGGAGCUGCAACUUCUGCUGGAGGUGCCACCGCUGCUGCAGAGACUCCUGCCACUGAGGAGAAAAAGGAAGAGCAAGAGGAGAGUGAUGAUGAUGAUAUGGGAUUCUCCCUAUUUGAUUAAGAGCCUUUUGUCUGUUAAAAUCCUAGCAAGUGAUCGUUUACAUUUUUUAUUUUUCUUUUAUGCUUGAAUUAGACUUGUACUGUAUCAGAAACGGCAUUUUGGAGUUGAAUUUGACAAUAUGAGUAUGUUGUCUUUAUUUUGUUA